This 738-nucleotide long non-coding RNA is filed under the name Mytilus galloprovincialis (Mediterranean mussel). Lineage: Eukaryota; Metazoa; Mollusca; Bivalvia; Mytilida; Mytilidae. The record is from RNAcentral.
GUUUAUUAUCCCCUGUGCUGUUGGCUAAGAUGCCAAAGAACAAUUGUAUGAAAUAUUUGGUCGCCGAAAAUCUAUAAAGAUGAGUCGUUUACAUUUCCCAAAUGGCAAAAGUCGUAGGAAUAUUGUUUGUCAUCGAUACGUAUUACAUACGUCAGUAGUCUAUUAAUAAGUUGGCGGCAAUUUCAAAUUACAUAGAAGACGAAAUUUACGUACCUUUUAAAUUGAGAGGAUUCUGAUGAUCAGGGCUUUCGGUGGCUUCAAGUGCCGGCUACUUCACUGACAAAAAUAUAAAUUCAAAAAGAUAAAAAAUAUCUUUUUCAAAUGUUUACAGGCAGCCGAGAGACGUAUUGUCGCAAAGUCGCGGUCACGAUAAACAAGGGUGAAAAGUCAGUGUUUACCGUGGGCUAAAUAUAGUUCACAUGAAUUCAGGUCACUGAUUGGUUGUCUAUUUAAAGUCAGAAUGCAUCGUUUCUUUUCAAAGAUAAAGAGACGUUCCGGUGGUCAUUAAACGAUAACAAUAGAGACGUUCCGAUGGGCAUUAACUCGUUGGCUUUUUUUUUUGGCUUUUAAAACGUGAAGACAAUCAGAUAGGAUGACAAUCUUAUGUUAUGGAAUAAUAUCAGUCAAAUUAAAGAAAGUGUAGUAGAUCAUAUUGUUCAGAAUCUGGAAAACAGUAUCUUUUGAAGUUCAUUUUUCAAAGCCCACGUGGUGUUCAGAGAAUCAAGGUCAAAAACGAAA